AAACGAACGCUGGCGGCAUGCCUACCCUUUGCAAGUCGAACGAGGCCCUUCGGGGUUUAGUGGCGCACGGGUGCGUAACGCGUGGGAAUCUGCCCUUUGGUUCGGAAUAACAGCUGGAAACGGCUGCUAAUACCGGAUGAUGACAAAAGUCCAAAGAUUUAUCGCCAGAGGAUGAGCCCGCGUUGGAUUAGGUAGUUGGUGGGGUAAAGGCCUACCAAGCCGACAAUCCAUAGCUGGUCUGAGAGGAUGAUCAGCCACACUGGGACUGAGACACGGCCCAAACUCCUACGGGAGGCAGCAGUGGGGAAUAUUGGACAAUGGGCGCAAGCCUGAUCCAGCAAUGCCGCGUGAGUGAUGAAGGCCCUAGGGUUGUAAAGCUCUUUUACCCGGGAAGAUAAUGACUGUACCGGGAGAAUAAGCCCCGGCUAACUCCGUG
This 436-nucleotide ribosomal RNA is filed under the name uncultured bacterium. RNAcentral's name for it is "bacterial SSU rRNA". It matches the Rfam family "Bacterial small subunit ribosomal RNA", at positions 29 to 507 of the family's 1533-position model. The record is from RNAcentral.